UCCUGACGGUAGUCGUAUGCUCGUCUCCGAGACUAAGCCAUGCAAGUCCAAGUACACGUCCUUGAACGACGGAAACUGCGAACGGCUCAUUAAAUCAGUUGCGAUCUACUCGGCGUUCCGCGCCGCCGGAUAACCGUAGUAAUUCUAGGGCUAAUACGUGCGAAGCGCCCGAAGCCGCGAGGCGACGGGCGUUCUCGCCGGAUGUAGGAACCGACCCGGGGACCGCCGGGGCAACCGGCGCCCCGAGACGGGGCGAACCACGGUGAAAUGACGGAUCGUCGGCCCCGCGCCGGCGACUCGCCGAAUGAGUUUCUGACCUAUCAACUCGAGACGGCGGGGUAGAGGCCCGCCGCGGUAACGACGGGUAACGGGGAAUCAGGGUUCGAUUCCGGAGAGGGAGCCCGAGAACGGCUACCACUUCCAAGGAAGGCAGCAGGCGCGCAACUUACCCUAAUCUCGAUUCGAGG
RNAcentral lists this ribosomal RNA (467 nucleotides) under uncultured eukaryote. RNAcentral's name for it is "bacterial SSU rRNA". It matches the Rfam family "Eukaryotic small subunit ribosomal RNA", at positions 12 to 461 of the family's 1831-position model. The record is from RNAcentral.